Gorilla gorilla gorilla (western lowland gorilla) is the source of this 342-nucleotide long non-coding RNA. RefSeq lists it as uncharacterized. The record is from RefSeq and is a predicted model, not a curated record. Lineage: Eukaryota; Metazoa; Chordata; Mammalia; Primates; Hominidae. The transcript has 2 exons.
CUUGGCUCAGGGGUGAGGUUACAGGCAAUAGUCACUGGCACAGAAGGAAGAAAGGUGUUUCCUUCUUGUGAAGCCCAAAGCAGUGACAGGACCAUCCUCUUUGUGGAAGUUUCUGGCCAUCUUCUUACAAAUGAAGUGACGCAGAUGCAAGGCGCUGCAAGGCCCACCUCCUCCUGCUCUGACAGGCAGACAGGAAACCAAAGCCCCUAUCUGAGCAGCCUCUGUCUCUCCCAUUCACCUCCAGCUUCCUAUGUGGACCUUUGCCUUUUCCUUCUUGGAUGGUGGAAACUCCUCCAGAUGUCAAGACUUGCUGUGAAUAAAGUUUUAAGAGGAGGUCAUGUA